RNAcentral lists this ribosomal RNA (301 nucleotides) under uncultured bacterium. Its description in RNAcentral is "partial 16S ribosomal RNA". It matches the Rfam family "Bacterial small subunit ribosomal RNA", at positions 509 to 809 of the family's 1533-position model. The record is from RNAcentral.
CAGUCGCCGCGGGAACACGUAGGGCGCAAGCGUUAUCCGGAAUUAUUGGGCGUAAAGAGCUCGUAGGCGGUUUGUCGCGUCUGCCGUGAAAGUCCGGGGCUCAACCCCGGAUCUGCGGUGGGUACGGGCAGACUAGAGUGAUGUAGGGGAGACUGGAAUUCCUGGUGUAGCGGUGAAAUGCGCAGAUAUCAGGAGGAACACCGAUGGCGAAGGCAGGUCUCUGGGCAUUAACUGACGCUGAGGAGCGAAAGCAUGGGGAGCGAACAGGAUUAGAUACCCCCGUAGUCCCUGUCUCUUAUAA